GAUGAACGCUGGCGGCGUGCCUAAUACAUGCAAGUCGAGCGAACAGACGAGGAGCUUGCUCCUCUGACGUUAGCGGCGGACGGGUGAGUAACACGUGGAUAACCUACCUAUAAGACUGGGAUAACUUCGGGAAACCGGAGCUAAUACCGGAUAAUAUAUUGAACCGCAUGGUUCAAUAGUGAAAGACGGUUUUGCUGUCACUUAUAGAUGGAUCCGCGCCGCAUUAGCUAGUUGGUAAGGUAACGGCUUACCAAGGCGACGAUGCGUAGCCGACCUGAGAGGGUGAUCGGCCACACUGGAACUGAGACACGGUCCAGACUCCUACGGGAGGCAGCAGUAGGGAAUCUUCCGCAAUGGGCGAAAGCCUGACGGAGCAACGCCGCGUGAGUGAUGAAGGUCUUCGGAUCGUAAAACUCUGCUAUUAGGGAAGAACAAAUGUGUAAGUAACUAUGCACGUCUUGACGGUACCGAAUCAGAAAGCCACGGCUAACUACGU
This 496-nucleotide ribosomal RNA is filed under the name uncultured bacterium. RNAcentral describes it as "partial 16S ribosomal RNA". It matches the Rfam family "Bacterial small subunit ribosomal RNA", at positions 28 to 506 of the family's 1533-position model. The record is from RNAcentral.